RNAcentral lists this ribosomal RNA (440 nucleotides) under uncultured bacterium. RNAcentral describes it as "partial 16S ribosomal RNA". It matches the Rfam family "Bacterial small subunit ribosomal RNA", at positions 338 to 795 of the family's 1533-position model. The record is from RNAcentral.
CCUACGGGUGGCAGCAGUGGGGGAUAUUGCACAAUGGGGGAAACCCUGAUGCAGCGACGCCGCGUGUGGGAAGACGGUCCUCUGGAUUGUAAACCACUGUCCCCAGGGACGAAGAUGACGUUACCUGGGAAGGAAGCUCCGGCAAAUUACGUCCCAGCACCCGCGGUAAUAGGUAGGGAGCGAGCGUUGUCCGGAAUUCCUGGGGGUAAGGGGAGCGUGGGCGGGACGGCAAGUUGGGUGUAAAAUCUACCGGCUCAACCGGUAGCCGCACUCAAAACUGCAGUUCUUGAGUGAAGUAGAGGCAGGCGGAAUUCCUAGUGUAGCGGUGAAAUGCGUAGAUAUUAGGAGGAACACCAGUGGCGAAGGCGGCCUGCUGGGCUUUGACUGACGCUGAGGCUCGAAAGUGUGGGGAGCAAACAGGAUUAGAUACCCGGGUAGUC